AGAUGGCUUCAGUACAAGAAAGCGAAACUCUCUUUCUGGAAGAGUUCAUUGAAGACUCGGAAACAGCGGAACUCCUUAAAACAUUCGAGCUCAGUGAUGCAGCGGUUGAGACAUUUCUUGCAAAUAAUUACAGCGUCGAUGAUUUAAAGAUAAUCGAAAGAGAAGAGCUGGAGGCGUUGCUACCCUCUCCGUUUUUAGCUGAUCGUACUCGUGCUAUACAUGGCCUUAAUAAGUGGAGUAUUUCGCAGAAUCUGGUUCCUGUAACACAGCCCCUAGCCGAAAAACGCAAUACCAGUACGCUUGCUAAUAAGUCGUCUGAAACUAAGACACCUCUGAGUAGAGCAGACAGAAAAUUGUGGACAAAAUAGAGCCAUCGAAAAGAGGAAGAGAUGUAUUAAAAAAUAUACGGAGUGCAAAAUUCUCGCAAAAAGAGAUAGAACGUUUAUUACUCAUUUGAUAAUCGAUGAAUUUCUAAACGAAUUUGGUAAGCUGUCAAAGGAAGAACUCAUUCAAAAAUCAAAAGAGCUGAAGGAGAUUUUUCCGACCACAGAAGAGCAUGUGUGGUAUCAACCGACGACAGUCCGCGAUGUGAAUGGUCGAAAAAUUAAGCUGGGACACUUAGCCAAAGGGUGUUUGCUCGACAGAAACCACAA
Topomyia yanbarensis is the source of this 653-nucleotide long non-coding RNA. RefSeq lists it as uncharacterized. The transcript is spliced from 4 exons. The record is from RefSeq and is a predicted model, not a curated record. Lineage: Eukaryota; Metazoa; Arthropoda; Insecta; Diptera; Culicidae.